Chlorocebus sabaeus (green monkey) is the source of this 99-nucleotide microRNA precursor. Lineage: Eukaryota; Metazoa; Chordata; Mammalia; Primates; Cercopithecidae. The record is from Ensembl.
AUGGGGUAAAACCAUUAUGCAUAUUGUAUUUUUAGGUCUCAAUACGUGUGGACCCUAAAAAUGCAAUGCAUAAUGGUUUUAUACUCUUUAUCUUCUUAU